CAGCCGCCACGGUAAUACGAAGGGGGCUAGUGUUGCUCGGAAUGACUGGGCGUAAAGGGCGCGUAGGCGGCGGCCAAAGUCAGGCGUGAAAUUCCCGGGCUCAACCUGGGGGCUGCGUUUGAUACUUGGUUGCUUGAGUGGGGAAGAGGGUCGUGGAAUUCCCAGUGUAGAGGUGAAAUUCGUAGAUAUUGGGAAGAACACCGAUGGCGAAGGCAAAUCUCUGGGCCGUAACUGACGCUGAGGAGCGAAAGCAUGGGGAGCGAACAGGAUUAGAGACCCGCGUAGUCCCUGUCUCUUAUAC
This 301-nucleotide ribosomal RNA is filed under the name uncultured bacterium. RNAcentral describes it as "partial 16S ribosomal RNA". It matches the Rfam family "Bacterial small subunit ribosomal RNA", at positions 509 to 807 of the family's 1533-position model. The record is from RNAcentral.